AGUGAACGCUGGCGGUAGGCCUAACACAUGCAAGUCGAACGGCAGCACAGUAAGAGCUUGCUCUUACGGGUGGCGAGUGGCGGACGGGUGAGGAAUACAUCGGAAUCUACUUUUUCGUGGGGGAUAACGUAGGGAAACUUACGCUAAUACCGCAUACGACCUACGGGUGAAAGCAGGGGAUCUUCGGACCUUGCGCGAUUGAAUGAGCCGAUGUCGGAUUAGCUAGUUGGCGGGGUAGAGGCCCACCAAGGCGACGAUCCGUAGCUGGUCUGAGAGGAUGAUCAGCCACACUGGAAGUGAGACACGGUCCAGACUCCUACGGGAGGCAGCAGUGGGGAAUAUUGGACAAUGGGCGCAAGCCUGAUCCAGCCAUACCGCGUGGGUGAAGAAGGCCUUCGGGUUGUAAAGCCCUUUUGUUGGGAAAGAAAAGCAGCAGGUUAAUACCCCGCUGUUCUGACGGUACCCAAAGAAUAAGCACCGGCUAACUUCGU
RNAcentral lists this ribosomal RNA (491 nucleotides) under uncultured bacterium. RNAcentral describes it as "partial 16S ribosomal RNA". It matches the Rfam family "Bacterial small subunit ribosomal RNA", at positions 29 to 506 of the family's 1533-position model. The record is from RNAcentral.